GGGCUGGUAGCUCAGAGGCUACCGCCGGGAAACUAGGUAGAGCUCUAGGAGGAGCUCGCCUAAAGCGCCGGACCAAGCUUGGGCGAAGCUUUUAACCCGGCGGCCGCGGGUUCGAAUCCCGCCCAGCCCGCCA
This 133-nucleotide transfer RNA is filed under the name Candidatus Bathyarchaeota archaeon. Its description in RNAcentral is "tRNA-OTHER". It matches the Rfam family "tRNA". From Rfam's summary of the family: Transfer RNA (tRNA) molecules are approximately 80 nucleotides in length. Their secondary structure includes four short double-helical elements and three loops (D, anti-codon, and T loops). Further hydrogen bonds mediate the characteristic L-shaped molecular structure. tRNAs have two regions of fundamental functional importance: the anti-codon, which is responsible for specific mRNA codon recognition, and the 3' end, to which the tRNAs corresponding amino acid is attached (by aminoacyl-tRNA synthetases). tRNAs cope with the degeneracy of the genetic code in two manners: having more than one tRNA (with a specific anti-codon) for a particular amino acid; and 'wobble' base-pairing, i.e. permitting non-standard base-pairing at the 3rd anti-codon position. The record is from RNAcentral. Lineage: Archaea; Thermoproteati; Candidatus Bathyarchaeota.